This is a non-coding RNA of Zophobas morio, 72 nucleotides long. NCBI's taxonomy places the organism in Eukaryota, Metazoa, Arthropoda, Insecta, Coleoptera, Tenebrionidae. The record is from the annotation of a RefSeq genome assembly.
UCCUCGUUAGUCUAACGGCUAGGAUACUGCCCUCUCACGGCAGGGGUCGGGGUUCGAUUCCCCGACGAGGAG